UACGAAGGUGGCAAGCGUUGUUCGGAUUUACUGGGCGUAAAGGGAGCGUAGGUGGUUAGGUAAGCCCUCCGGGAAAUCUUCAGGCUUAACCUGAAAAGGUCGGGGGGGACUGCCUGGCUAGAGGACGGGAGAGGAGCGCGGAAUUCCCGGUGUAGCGGUGAAAUGCGUAGAGAUCGGGAGGAAGGCCGGUGGCGAAGGCGGCGCUCUGGAACGUUUCUGACAUUGAGGCUCGAAAGCGUGGGGAGCAAACAGG
RNAcentral lists this ribosomal RNA (253 nucleotides) under uncultured bacterium. RNAcentral's name for it is "partial 16S ribosomal RNA". It matches the Rfam family "Bacterial small subunit ribosomal RNA", at positions 524 to 776 of the family's 1533-position model. The record is from RNAcentral.